This 443-nucleotide ribosomal RNA is filed under the name uncultured Clostridia bacterium. RNAcentral describes it as "partial 16S ribosomal RNA". Lineage: Bacteria; Bacillati; Bacillota; Clostridia. The record is from RNAcentral.
GACUACCAGGGUAUCUAAGCCUGUUCGCUCCCCACGCUUUCGCGCCUCAGCGUCAGUUACAGUCCAGUCAGCCGCCUUCGCCACUGGUGUUCCUCCUAAUAUCUACGCAUUUCACCGCUACACUAGGAAUUCCACUGCCCUCUCCUGCACUCAAGUUAUCCAGUAUCAGAUGCAGUCUCUGGGUUGAGCCCACAGUUUUCACACCUGACUUAAUUAACCGCCUACGCGCCCUUUACGCCCAGUAAUUCCGGACAACGCUCGCCACCUACGUAUUACCGCGGCUGCUGGCACGUAGUUAGCCGUGGCUUCCUCCUAUGGUACCGUCACUUUCUUCUUCCCAUAAGACAGGGCUUUACAACCCGAAGGCCUUCUUCACCCACGCGGCGUUGCUCCGUCAGACUUUCGUCCAUUGCGGAAAAUUCCCCACUGCAGCCGCCCGUAGG